Molecule: ribosomal RNA, 497 nt
Filed under: uncultured bacterium
Lineage: Bacteria
Description: partial 16S ribosomal RNA
Rfam family: Bacterial small subunit ribosomal RNA
Source: RNAcentral
GAUGAACGCUGGCGGCGUGCCUAAUACAUGCAAGUCGAGCGAACAGACGAGGAGCUUGCUCCUCUGACGUUAGCGGCGGACGGGUGAGUAACACGUGGAUAACCUACCUAUAAGACUGGGAUAACUUCGGGAAACCGGAGCUAAUACCGGAUAAUAUAUUGAACCGCAUGGUUCAAUAGUGAAAGACGGUUUUGCUGUCACUUAUAGAUGGAUCCGCGCCGCAUUAGCUAGUUGGUAAGGUAACGGCUUACCAAGGCAACGAUGCGUAGCCGACCUGAGAGGGUGAUCAGCCACACUGGAACUGAGACACGGUCCAGACUCCUACGAGGGGCAGCAGUAGGGAGUCUUCCGCAAUGGGCGAAAGCCUGACGGAGCAACGUCGCGUGAUUGAUGAAGGUCUUCGGAUCGUAAAACUCUGUUAUUAGGGAAGAACAAAUGUGUAAGUAACUAUGCGCGUCUUGACGGUACCUAGACAGAAAGCCACGGCUAACUACGUG